Molecule: unclassified non-coding RNA, 329 nt
Filed under: soil metagenome
Description: partial contains 5.8S ribosomal RNA, internal transcribed spacer 2, and large subunit ribosomal RNA
Rfam family: 5.8S ribosomal RNA (bases 1-120)
Source: RNAcentral
GAUGAAGAACGUAGCGAAAUGCGAUAAGUAAUGUGAAUUGCAGAAUUCAGUGAAUCAUCGAAUCUUUGAACGCACAUUGCGCCCCCUGGUAUUCCGGGGGGCAUGCCUGUCCGAGCGUCAUUACGACCCUCAAGCUCAGCUUGGUGUUGGGCCCCGCCGCCCCGGCGGGCCCUAAAGUCAGUGGCGGUGCCGUCCGGCUCCGAGCGUAGUAAUUCUUCUCGCUCUGGAGGUCCGGUCGUGUGCUCGCCAGCAACCCCCAAUUUUUUUCAGGUUGACCUCGGAUCAGGUAGGGAUACCCGCUGAACUUAAGCAUAUCAAUAAGCGGAGGA